This is a small nucleolar RNA of Cucurbita pepo subsp. pepo (vegetable marrow), 129 nucleotides long. RefSeq annotates it as small nucleolar RNA snoR74. Lineage: Eukaryota; Viridiplantae; Streptophyta; Magnoliopsida; Cucurbitales; Cucurbitaceae. The record is from RefSeq and is a predicted model, not a curated record.
AAAAAAGCAGGGCUCUGUUGCCUCCUGUGAAUAGGGCUCUCGUAAACUUCAGGGAAACAAAGUGCAUUGUUAUUGGGUGAACCUCUGUAGAUAUAGUUGCUUGACGGUUCAGUAAAUGAUGCUACAUUU